This is a non-coding RNA of Salvia hispanica, 413 nucleotides long. NCBI's taxonomy places the organism in Eukaryota, Viridiplantae, Streptophyta, Magnoliopsida, Lamiales, Lamiaceae. The record is from RefSeq and is a predicted model, not a curated record.
GUACGGCCCAUUUUCAUAUAAACAGUUAAACCGAACUCGGUUUCAGUAUUGCAAUUUCAGUAGAAACUGUGCAAACAAGCUGUAGGGUUUGCGAUCAGCUUGCAACAGGAAGCAUUGCCUAGAGCUGUUCAUUCUGAGAUGUCGGGGAUUCCAGUAUUUCGUGCGCUUGCACCAAAGACCAAGAAUGCAGUUGUUGCUGGAGGUCUGACUGCGUUUGUCUUUGGGGUGUAUUUCUACACGAUGAGAGCAGUCGGUGGUACUGAUGAACUUCAGGUGGCUAUUGACAAGUUUGAAGAUCAGAAGCAUCGAAACGAGGAAUAAGCUAUUACUACAAGAUUAUAUAUUUAUGUAUAAUUAGGUGAAUGUUGUUGCCCUCAGUUUCUUUAUAUUUAAAUAAAGUCUGAAUUUAUAAA